This 469-nucleotide ribosomal RNA is filed under the name uncultured bacterium. RNAcentral's name for it is "SSU rRNA". It matches the Rfam family "Bacterial small subunit ribosomal RNA", at positions 26 to 518 of the family's 1533-position model. The record is from RNAcentral.
AGGACUAACGCUGGCGGCGUGCCUAACACAUGCAAGUCGAACGAGGGGUAGCAAUACCCCUAGUGGCAGACGGGUGAGUAACACGUAGUCAACCUACCUCUUAAUGGGGGAUAACUAGCCGAAAGGUUAGCUAAUACCGCAUACGAUCGUCGAGUGGCAUCACACGACGAUGAAAGGAGCAAUCCGUUGAGAGAGGGGACUGCGUCCCAUUAGUUAGUUGGUGGGGUAAUGGCCUACCAAGACUCCGAUGGGUAGCUGGCUUGAGAGAGCGACCAGCCACACUGGAACUGAGACACGGUCCAGACUCCUACGGGAGGCAGCAGUGAGGAAUUUUCCGCAAUGGGGGAAACCCUGACGGAGCGACGCCGCGUGUGGGAAGAAGGCCUUCGGGUCGUAAACCACUGUCGAGGGGGACGAUAUUGACGGUACCCCUGGAGGAAGCCCCGGCUAACUACGUGUCAGCAGCCGC